AGGGCGUUGAAGCAUGAUCGCAAGGACAUGUGGAGCGCUUAGAAGUGAGAAUGCCGGUGUGAGUAGCGAAAGACGGGUGAGAAUCCCGUCCACCGAUUGACUAAGGUUUCCAGAGGAAGGCUCGUCCGCUCUGGGUUAGUCGGGUCCUAAGCUGAGGCCGACAGGCGUAGGCGAUGGAUAACAGGUUGAUAUUCCUGUACCACCAUUAUUCGUUUUAAGCGAUGGGGGGACGCAGUAGGAUAGGCGAAGCGUGCUGUUGGAGUGCACGUCCAAGCAGUGAGAUUGAGUGUUAGGCAAAUCCGGCACUCUUAAGAUUGAGCUGUGAUGGGGAGAGGAACUUGUUCCUCGAGUCGUUGAUUUCACACUGCCGAGAAAAGCCUCUAGCUAGAAUAACGGUGCCCGUACCGCAAACCGACACAGGUAGUCAAGAUGAGAAUUCUAAGGUGAGCGAGCGAACUCUCGUUAAGGAACUCGGCAAAAUGACCCCGUAACUUCGGGAGAAGGGGUGCUCUUUGAGGUUCACGCUUCGAAGAGCCGCAGUGAAUAGGCCCAAGCGACUGUUUAUCAAAAACACAGGUCUCUGCUAAACCGUAAGGUGACGUAUAGGGGCUGACGCCUGCCCGGUGCUGGAAGGUUAAGAGGAGUGGUUAGCGCAAGCGAAGCUACGAAUCGAAGCCCCAGUAAACGGCGGCCGUAACUAUAACGGUCCUAAGGUAGCGAAAUUCCUUGUCGGGUAAGUUCCGACCCGCACGAAAGGCGUAACGAUUUGGGCACUGUCUCAACGAGAGACUCGGUGAAAUCAUAGUACCGGUGAAGAUGCCGGUUACCCGCGACAGGACGGAAAGACCCCGUGGAGCUUUACUGUAGCCUGAUAUUGAAAUUCGGUACAGUUUGUACAGGAUAGGUAGGAGCCUUAGAAGCGUGAGCGCUAGCUUACGUGGAGGCAUUGGUGGGAUACUACCCUAAUUGUAUUGGAUUUCUAACCCGCAGCACUUAUCGUGCUGGGAGACAGUGUCAGGCGGGCAGUUUGACUGGGGCGGUCGCCUCCUAAAGAGUAACGGAGGCGCUCAAAGGUUCCCUCAGAAUGGUUGGAAAUCAUUCAUAGAGUGUAAAGGCAUAAGGGAGCUUGACUGCGAGACCUACAAGUCGAGCAGGGUCGAAAGACGGACUUAGUGAUCCGGUGGUUCCGCAUGGAAGGGCCAUCGCUCAACGGAUAAAAGCUACCCCGGGGAUAACAGGCUUAUCUCCCCCAAGAGUUCACAUCGACGGGGAGGUUUGGCACCUCGAUGUCGGCUCAUCGCAUCCUGGGGCUGUAGUCGGUCCCAAGGGUUGGGCUGUUCGCCCAUUAAAGCGGUACGCGAGCUGGGUUCAGAACGUCGUGAGACAGUUCGGUCCCUAUCCGUCGUGGGCGUAGGAAAUUUGAGAGGAGCUGUCCUUAGUACGAGAGGACCGGGAUGGACAUACCUCUGGUGUACCAGUUGUCGUGCCAACGGCAUAGCUGGGUAGCUAUGUAUGGACGGGAUAAGUGCUGAAAGCAUCUAAGCAUGAAGCCCCCCUCGAGAUGAGAUUUCCCAACUUCGGUUAUAAGAUCCCUCAAAGAUGAUGAGGUGAAU
RNAcentral lists this ribosomal RNA (1613 nucleotides) under Staphylococcus pseudintermedius. Its description in RNAcentral is "partial 23S ribosomal RNA". It matches the Rfam family "Bacterial large subunit ribosomal RNA", at positions 1244 to 2857 of the family's 2925-position model. Lineage: Bacteria; Bacillati; Bacillota; Bacilli; Caryophanales; Staphylococcaceae. The record is from RNAcentral.